This 224-nucleotide long non-coding RNA is filed under the name Ananas comosus (pineapple). RNAcentral's name for it is "long non-coding RNA (ACOM_LNC003055)". Lineage: Eukaryota; Viridiplantae; Streptophyta; Magnoliopsida; Poales; Bromeliaceae. The record is from RNAcentral.
CUAGCACAAGUGGUAAAGAGCCUGAUGAUUAGUAUCUUAGAUUUCAAGUUCAAAGUCUAAUUGCUUUACGUGAAAUUGUGAAGAGAACGCAUUUUAUACUAUAAAAAUAAAAAAAAAAGUUAUUUUUUAUGAAAAAUUUUAUAUAUUUUAGAUUCUGAUGAUUCAAUUAGAAGAUAUAUUUAUGUGAAAUUAAGCUAGAAUACUUCUAGAAAUAAACGAUAAAG